RNAcentral lists this small nuclear RNA (103 nucleotides) under Nannospalax galili (Upper Galilee mountains blind mole rat). The record is from RNAcentral. Lineage: Eukaryota; Metazoa; Chordata; Mammalia; Rodentia; Spalacidae.
GUGCUCACUUUGAAAGCACAUAUACUAAAAUUGGAAUGACACAAGAUUAGCAUGGCUCCUGUGCAAGAAUGACACACAAAUUCAUGAAGCGUUCCAAAUAAAA